RNAcentral lists this ribosomal RNA (606 nucleotides) under Saccharomyces cerevisiae (brewer's yeast). RNAcentral's name for it is "partial large subunit ribosomal RNA". It matches the Rfam family "Eukaryotic large subunit ribosomal RNA", at positions 44 to 664 of the family's 3401-position model. Lineage: Eukaryota; Fungi; Ascomycota; Saccharomycetes; Saccharomycetales; Saccharomycetaceae. RNAcentral also lists the same sequence under 1 other name. The record is from RNAcentral.
UGGAAAUCGGAGGAAAAGAAACCAACCGGGAUUGCCUUAGUAACGGCGAGUGAAGCGGCAAAAGCUCAAAUUUGAAAUCUGGUACCUUCGGUGCCCGAGUUGUAAUUUGGAGAGGGCAACUUUGGGGCCGUUCCUUGUCUAUGUUCCUUGGAACAGGACGUCAUAGAGGGUGAGAAUCCCGUGUGGCGAGGAGUGCGGUUCUUUGUAAAGUGCCUUCGAAGAGUCGAGUUGUUUGGGAAUGCAGCUCUAAGUGGGUGGUAAAUUCCAUCUAAAGCUAAAUAUUGGCGAGAGACCGAUAGCGAACAAGUACAGUGAUGGAAAGAUGAAAAGAACUUUGAAAAGAGAGUGAAAAAGUACGUGAAAUUGUUGAAAGGGAAGGGCAUUUGAUCAGACAUGGUGUUUUGUGCCCUCUGCUCCUUGUGGGUAGGGGAAUCUCGCAUUUCACUGGGCCAGCAUCAGUUUUGGUGGCAGGAUAAAUCCAUAGGAAUGUAGCUUGCCUCGGUAAGUAUUAUAGCCUGUGGGAAUACUGCCAGCUGGGACUGAGGACUGCGACGUAAGUCAAGGAUGCUGGCAUAAUGGUUAUAUGCCGCCCGUCUUGAACCCCGA